AUUGAACGCUGGCGGCAGGCUUAACACAUGCAAGUCGAACGGUAGCACAGGAAGAGUUGCUCCUUGGGGGAGGCGCGUGGCGGGCGUGUGAAAUGUAUGGGAAAAUGUAUGUUGGCGGGGGGGAAAAAGUGGAAACGGUAACUCAAAUAGCGCAUAGUCGCUACGGCAGAGAGGAGGAGAUCUUCGGCCCUUGCCCGAAUGAAUGCGCAGAUGGCAUUAGCUAGUUGGUGGGGUAAUGGCUCACCCAGGCGCCGAUCCCUAGCUGGUCUGAGAGGAUGACCAGCCACACUGGAACUGAGACACGGUCCAGACUCCUACGGGAGGCAGCAGUGGGGAAUAUUGCACAAUGGGCGCAAGCCUGAUGCAGCCAUGCCGCGUGUGUGAAGAAGGCCUUCGGGUUGUAAAGCACUUUUGUUGAGGAGGAAAGGCGGGAGCUUAAUACGCUGAUGUUUUGACGGUACUCGAAGAAUAAGCACCGGCUAACUCCGUG
Molecule: ribosomal RNA, 490 nt
Filed under: uncultured bacterium
Lineage: Bacteria
Description: partial 16S ribosomal RNA
Rfam family: Bacterial small subunit ribosomal RNA
Source: RNAcentral